GAUGAACGCUGGCGGCGUGCCUAAUACAUGCAAGUCGAGCGAACGGACGAUAAGCUUGUUUCUCUGCUGUUAGCGGCUGACGGGUGAGUAACACGUGGAUAACCUACCUAUAUUACUUGGAUAAUUUCGUGAAACCGGAGCUAAUACCGGAUAAUAUUUUGUACCGCAUGGUUCAAAAGUGAAUGACGGUCUUGCUGUCACUUAUAGAUGGAUCCGCGCUGCAUUAGCUAGUUGGUAAGGUAACGGCUUACCAAGGCAACGAUGCAUAGCCGACCUGAGAGGAUGAUCGGCCACACUGGAACUGAGACACGGUCCAGACUCCUAUGGGAGGCAGCAGUAGGGAAUAUUCGACAAUGGGCGAAAGCCUGACGGAGCAACGCCGCGUGAGUGAUGAAGGUCUUCGGAUCGUAAAACUCUGUUAUUAGGGAAGAACAGAUGUGGAAGUAAAUGUGGACAUCUUGACGGUACCUAAAGAGAAAGCCACGGCUAACUACGUG
Molecule: ribosomal RNA, 497 nt
Filed under: uncultured bacterium
Lineage: Bacteria
Description: partial 16S ribosomal RNA
Rfam family: Bacterial small subunit ribosomal RNA
Source: RNAcentral